UGCAGUGCUGGCUCUUACAAGGGCAUGUGCACGUUGGAAGGCAUAUAUCCAACAUCCUCUUGUGAACCAUUGGCCUUUGCUGGCUUCGGCUGGUCGAGGAUUUACACAAACACGAAUGUAAUGAAAUAAUGUCGUGCUCAGCACUAAUAUACAACUUUCAACAACGGAUCUCUUGGCUCUCGCAUCGAUGAAGAACGCAGCGAAAUGCGAUAAGUAAUGUGAAUUGCAGAAUUCAGUGAAUCAUCGAAUCUUUGAACGCACCUUGCACCCUUUGGUAUUCCGAAGGGUAUGCUCGUUUGAGUGUCAUUAUACUCUCACACUCUCUGAUUAGAGAGCGGUGGACGUGGAUGUUGCCUGGUGCUUGUUGUCAGGCUCAUCUGAAAUGAGUUAGUACGACUCCUAGUUAAACAUAGUACGGCGUUAUAACUAAACCCUCGCUGUUUUUUUGUCUGAUUAGGAGCCUUGUGCUUCGAACCGUCUUCGGACAAUAUCUGAUAACUUUGACCUCAAAUCGAGUAGGAUUACCCGCUGAACUUAA
Molecule: ribosomal RNA, 538 nt
Filed under: uncultured fungus
Lineage: Eukaryota; Fungi
Description: eukaryotic LSU rRNA
Rfam family: 5.8S ribosomal RNA (bases 153-306)
Source: RNAcentral